This 397-nucleotide ribosomal RNA is filed under the name uncultured bacterium. Its description in RNAcentral is "partial 16S ribosomal RNA". It matches the Rfam family "Bacterial small subunit ribosomal RNA", at positions 523 to 918 of the family's 1533-position model. The record is from RNAcentral.
AUACGUAGGGGGCGAGCGUUGUCCGGAUUUAUUGGGCGUAAAGGGUGCGUAGGCGGCCUUGUAAGUCAGAUGUGAAAGUCCUGCUUUUAAGGUGGGAAUUGCUUUGGAUCAUGUCGGGCUCGGGGGCAGGAGUGGGAAGUGGAAUUCCCAGUGUAGCGGUGCAAUGCGUAGAGAUUGGGAGGAACACCAGUGGCGAAGGCGACUUACUGGACUGUAACUGACGCUGAGGCGCGAAAGUGUGGGGAGCAAACAGGAUUAGAUACCCUGGUAGUCCACACUGUAAACGAUGAAUGCUAGGUGUAGGGGGUAUCGACCCCUUCUGUGCCGCAGUUAACACAAUAAGCAUUCCGCCUGGGGAGUACGGCCGCAAGGUUGAAACUCAAAGGAAUUGGCGGGG